UUUAAAUUGAGAAAUUAAAUGUUUUAUCAUGUUUCAUGCAUCAUGAUUAUGCAAUAGGGUGUUUGCAUUAGUUUUCACGAAUAUGCCGCAUUGCAUCGAUUGUUGUUGAUGUGGGUGAAUGUUGGAUGACCCAAUUAGUCCAUGACAUGAAGACCAGGACCCCAUUCUACGGCCUGGCACAGAGUAAGGAAAGACCAGAACCCCAUUCUACGGC
RNAcentral lists this long non-coding RNA (214 nucleotides) under Manihot esculenta (cassava). RNAcentral's name for it is "long non-coding RNA (MESC_LNC004480)". Lineage: Eukaryota; Viridiplantae; Streptophyta; Magnoliopsida; Malpighiales; Euphorbiaceae. The record is from RNAcentral.